GUAAUAGUUUUUACCGUUGGGUGGGAUGUGGGCUCAACAAAAUGGGUAGGCAAGAAAUCGGAAGUGCAACUUUUCUUUCCACAGCAAUUCCAAGUGAUCAAUAGAGUCGAGUCUGUCAAAUUCCAUUGCUUAAUUUCGAGCAACAUUUAACUUCAUAUUUUUAAAAUGAGUCUCUUCACACGGUCGUUUAGAUCUCUUUGCUGAGAUCUACUGGAUCAUUUUCUUUUCAAUAAUUCACAAAUUCAACCAGACAAAUUGAAUUAAAUUAACUUUUUUGCCUCCCUGUAACAUUUGAGGUCACUUGGAAUGAGCAAAAUGCGUCUGCCUUGCUCUCCGUACCAGCCGUGGUGUAUGGAAGUGAGGUGGACGUUGAGCUCGAAGACUUCGCGUCGAAGAGGAUCGCCGACCGUCACGCCAUAAAUUUGUAAACCUUUCUCCUUUCCACUCCCCAAUGUUAAUUGGAAUAGAAGGAUGCAAUUAAAGAUUGCAUUUCUUCGAUUUCCAUUAGCAUAAAUAUUCCAAGUCUGACGCCGCUCGCGCGGGUUUAUAGCGCGAGGACGAGGAAUCGCAUGAUCUGUGUUUGUAUUUUUUAUGUUGUGUCGUCCUUAGGGGUCCUAAGAAAUUUUUUAAAUCAAUAACUAGCGUGACUUGCCAUCUUGCAAGGCGCUUUAAAAACUUGACUGAUAUUGGUGGUGGGAAUAUGUAUUGAGAGAUUUUUUUUCAGGACUUUAAAGUGAAAUAAAAACCCAAGUUCCGUCGCUGCUGCUCGUAUGCGCGCGGACUUGGCGCUUAAAACAUGCUUUGCAACGCUUCCCGCGUUCUAAACUCAAAAGCCGAAAAAUUGUGAGGAACCAAGUAUCAUCGCACCUUUUUGUGCGUGGUACUUGACUUCCACGGGAUUAUUUGUAAGAAACUAAUCAAAAUUUUACCUUUCAGAUUAAUAUUUCCCUACCGUUAAUAAUAAUAAAAUUUUCUUGCAGGUUCUAAUUAUUAGUUUUUAUUUUCAGUUUGAUUACUAAUCAAAAUUUUCUUACAGAUGUUAGGUUUUAGUCUUUAGUUUCAUUGCUAAUCAGAUGUUGUUCACAGGCUGUCUCUGGCUACUAAUGUGCAAUCUGCUCUCUGAUUUCAGGAAUUCAAACUCCUGGACAACUCUCAACCGUUCUUCCAGAUUCUCCUCAAUUUCGUUACUAAUCAGAUGUUGUUCACAGGCUGUCUCUGGCUACUAAUUCAGUUUAUGCUUUCUGAUUUCAGGAAUUCAAAUUUCCGACGAACCUCUUGGAUUCCCUGGGACUUUCAGUCUUGAUACUAAUCAGAUGUUGUUCACAGGCUGUCUUUGGCUAGUAAUGUAAUCUGCUUUCUGAUUUCAGGAAUCCAAACUCUCAAACUCACUCCCAAAAAACCUUCACCUUUACUUCCCAGAUUUUCAGUUCCACUACUAAUCAGAUGUUCACAGGCUAUCUGGCUACUAAUGCAAUUAAUUUUAUGUUCCAGCAAUCAUCAUGUUGCAUACCUUUUAUUUUAAUGAUCAAAUUCAGAAAAUUUAGCUAGGUACUCACUUCCUCGAAGUGUUCAUCUUAUAAAUUCAAGAAAAACUUGAGUAACAUUUCGAAUUUCUGUUUCAGGAAUUAGAAAAAUACGUCUUUGAGAUCGGAUUCUGAUUUCUACAUUUUGGCAGCUAAUUGUUUCCAGUUAACAUUGCUUGUUCUUUCUCUUUGCAGAAAUUCAAUCUGAUAUAAUACUGAUCUGUUAAUGACUUGUUUACAUGUUUCAGGAUUUAUGUUUUAUACUUUGAUUAACAAUUGUAUAUUUUAUUUGCAGAAAUUUCAUCUAAUAUAAUAAUGAUAUGUUGAUCAGUUUUUUCUAUGUUCCAGAUGUCACGUGUCAUGAAUUAAUUGACAAACUCUUUUUCUCUUUUCAGAAGUCGAACCAUCAGAGCACGAAUUUUUUGUUGCUUUAUUCUAUUUUUUAUCUUUGAUAUUGAUGUUUAAUAAUGAGAUGACUGAUAACAAUUUUGAUGAUUAUUUAUUUAUCUGUCCUGUUCCAUGUUUUGUGUUUCACGUUUUGUAAUAUUUUGUGUUUGACGUGGUACCAUGUCUUGUGCGUGUAUAUGUUGUUUGUCAUCAUGUGUGUUGUCAUGUGCUAGUUUUAUUGUCUCUUUAUAUCACAUAUAUUACUUUCUAUUCGUGUCGAACCCAUAAUUCAUUUCUAUGUGAUUGACUGUCUCGAAAAAUAUCUAUUUUACUCUUGUUUCUAUGUCUCAAAUCUUUGCAGGUUUCAUCCCAGCAGACUGGCCCAUGAGGGGGGCCCAACGACAGUGGUUUGAAUAGGGCCUAACGGCGAUCGUUCCACUUAAAAAAAAAUCGAAACGAGCCGAGGACGCUACCUCAUUUAAGGUGGUUUGGAAACGCGUCAUUUCAGGUGUUUCUCUAAUUUUUAAUACCGUGGGCCUGUAAAUCAUAUGUCAUUAUAAAAACUGAACUUUGAUUUAUUUAUAACUCUACAAUGUACAUUCAAACUUGACAGAACUUUUAUUGAGAUUGACUUGGAUUGACCAUAGUCAUUGUGAAGUUAUAUACCCACUUAUCAUAGCUAUGAAUAAUUUAUUGAUACAACUGAUGAGGAGAGAUUUUUGCAAUAACCAAUAAGGCAAGAACAAAAAAUGCUGAAAUGACAUCAUAUUGACUUAUAUUGUUCGUUCGAUCACCAAAUACAUUGACUUUUGUACAUUAAAAAUACAAACUAAUAUCUGGUUUUACAGGAUCAACCCAUGGAAUUCAAGACUAUUUUUGUUAUAAUCUACCGUUAGUCUCAUUCUAAGAAUCUUUCAGUAAGGUCAACACAGGAACAUGAUAUAAUCAAAUAUAAUUAUAAAAAUAAUGAUUCAGACUUCUAGCUGAAAGUACUCGAGCCGUACAGCUGUAAAUUAGUGCUAAGAAAUUCAAAACCAAACGAAAGCAAAAGAUGUCGAGAUGUUAUGCUUGAAUGAUAGACGGAUAUUUCCGAAAAUCAAUCAUAUGCAUGGGAUGGAUUAAUGGAACGAAUACGUAACUAUUAGUAUCAAUACAUUGAUAUCAAAAUGAAAACAUUAAUAGGCAGUGUAAAAUAUUUUAUACAUGACAUACAAUAAAAUGUAUACAUAUGUAUGUUAGAAAAUAUGCUUAAAUGUUAAGCAAUUAUAAAUCAUAAUGGACCCCUCUA
Athalia rosae (coleseed sawfly) is the source of this 3198-nucleotide long non-coding RNA. RefSeq lists it as uncharacterized. The transcript has 2 exons. The record is from RefSeq and is a predicted model, not a curated record. NCBI's taxonomy places the organism in Eukaryota, Metazoa, Arthropoda, Insecta, Hymenoptera, Athaliidae.